UGCAUCCCCAGCUUCACCAAAAAAAUAUUCAAGGUUAUAAAUAAGAUAGAUCGAUAUAUAAGGAAGGUUUGAACAAUCCUGAGGCUUACCUUUGUCAGAAACGGCGAAAACUCGCCGGAAAAACACUUGAACAAUGAUGGUGCUACUAUGCAGUAUAGGGUUUCAUGUCUGGGUUUGAGAUCAUGGGCUUACUCUUACUUCUAGGUUCAAGAUAAAAUGACGAAGUUAUGGUCUGGGUGGUUCGUAGUGGAUCAUGGUGAAAUGGUGGUGUGUUUGCCAUGAUUAUGUGCAAUGUGC
This 297-nucleotide long non-coding RNA is filed under the name Malus domestica (apple). Its description in RNAcentral is "long non-coding RNA (MDOM_LNC002047)". The record is from RNAcentral. Lineage: Eukaryota; Viridiplantae; Streptophyta; Magnoliopsida; Rosales; Rosaceae.